This 533-nucleotide ribosomal RNA is filed under the name Aurantiochytrium limacinum. Its description in RNAcentral is "partial Bacterial large subunit ribosomal RNA". It matches the Rfam family "Bacterial large subunit ribosomal RNA", at positions 595 to 1129 of the family's 2925-position model. The record is from RNAcentral. Lineage: Eukaryota; Bigyra; Thraustochytrida; Thraustochytriidae.
GACGGCGUACCUUUUGUAUAAUGGGUCAGCGACUUAUAUUCUGUAGCAAGGUUAACCGAAUAGGGGAGCCGUAGGGAAACCGAGUCUUAAUAGGGCGUCUAGUUGCAGGGUAUAGACCCGAAACCGAGUGAUCUAUCCAUGAGCAGGUUGAAAGUGACGUAACAGUUACCGGAGGACCGAACCCACUGUCGUUGAAAAGCCAGGGGAUGACUUGUGGAUAGGGGUGAAAGGCUAAUCAAACUCGGUGAUAGCUGGUUCUCCCCGAAAGCUAUUUAGGUAGCGCCUCGGACGAACACCAUUGGGGGUAGAGCACUGUUUCGGCUAGGGGGUCAUCCCGACUUACCAAACCGAUGCAAACUCCGAAUACCGAUGAGUGAUAUCCGGGAGACAGACGGCGGGUGCUAACGUCCGUCGUCAAGAGGGAAACAACCCAGACCGCCAGCUAAGGCCCCAAAUUCCUAGUUAAGUGGGAAACGAUGUGGGAAGGCACAGACAGCUAGGAGGUUGGCUUAGAAGCAGCCACCCUUUAAAGA